This 253-nucleotide ribosomal RNA is filed under the name uncultured bacterium. RNAcentral describes it as "partial 16S ribosomal RNA". It matches the Rfam family "Bacterial small subunit ribosomal RNA", at positions 524 to 776 of the family's 1533-position model. The record is from RNAcentral.
UACGUAGGGGGCUAGCGUUGUCCGGAUUUAUUGGGCGUAAAGAGCGCGUAGGCGGUCCGAUAAGUCGGCUGUGAAAGUCAGGGGCUCAACCCUUGAAAGCCGGCCGAUACUGUCGGACUAGAGUCCGGAAGAGGCAAGUGGAAUUCCCGGUGUAGCGGUGAAAUGCGCAGAUAUCGGGAAGAACACCCGUGGCUAAGGCGGCUCUCUAGUACGGUACUGACGCUGAGACGCGAAAGCGUGGGGAGCGAACAGG